This is a small nucleolar RNA of Chanos chanos (milkfish), 134 nucleotides long. The record is from RefSeq and is a predicted model, not a curated record. NCBI's taxonomy places the organism in Eukaryota, Metazoa, Chordata, Actinopteri, Gonorynchiformes, Chanidae.
CUGCACUGUUCGUAAUCCAUUUCAGCUGUCAGUCUGAAACUUGGGUUCCAUUCCAGUGCCACAGUGUGCUCCAGUGUGGCAGGGGAGCAGUGCCUGUUUCACGCUGUCUCCCUGUUCUCACUCUGGGAACAAGA